RNAcentral lists this ribosomal RNA (531 nucleotides) under uncultured bacterium. Its description in RNAcentral is "bacterial SSU rRNA". It matches the Rfam family "Bacterial small subunit ribosomal RNA", at positions 777 to 1307 of the family's 1533-position model. The record is from RNAcentral.
AAUAGAUACCCGGGUAGUCCAUGCCGUAAACGUUGGGCACUAGGUGUGGGGCUCAUUCCACGAGUUCUGUGCCGCAGCAAACGCAUUAAGUGCCCCGCCUGGGGAGUACGGCCGCAAGGCUAAAACUCAAAGAAAUUGACGGGGGCCCGCACAAGCGGCGGAGCAUGCGGAUUAAUUCGAUGCAACGCGAAGAACCUUACCAAGGCUUGACAUACACCGGAAAAGUGCAGAGAUGUGCUCCCCGUAAGGUCGGUGUACAGGUGGUGCAUGGUUGUCGUCAGCUCGUGUCGUGAGAUGUUGGGUUAAGUCCCGCAACGAGCGCAACCCUCGUCCCAUGUUGCCAGCGGGUUAUGCCGGGGACUCAUGGGAGACUGCCGGGGUCAACUCGGAGGAAGGUGGGGAUGACGUCAAAUCAUCAUGCCCCUUAUGUCUUGGGCUUCACGCAUGCUACAAUGGCCGGUACGAAAGGGCUGCGAUACCGCAAGGUGGAGCGAAUCCCAAAAAGCCGGUCUCAGUUCGGAUUGUACUCUG